This 473-nucleotide ribosomal RNA is filed under the name uncultured bacterium. Its description in RNAcentral is "bacterial SSU rRNA". It matches the Rfam family "Bacterial small subunit ribosomal RNA", at positions 28 to 478 of the family's 1533-position model. The record is from RNAcentral.
GACGAACGCUGGCGGCGUGCCUAACACAUGCAAGUCGAACGGAGGCGGGAGUUAGGAUUGAGGGAACAAAAAAUUGCGCCCUGAAUCCUGAUUCCUUGCCUAAGUGGCGGACGGGUGAGUAACGCGUGAGUAACCUGCCUUUUUGAGGGGGAUAACAUCGGGAAACCGAUGCUAAUACCGCAUAAAAUAUGAAAUUCGCAUGAGUUUUAUAUCAAAGGAGCAAUCCGCAAAAAGAUGGACUCGCGUCCGAUUAGCCAGUUGGCGGGGUAAAGGCCCACCAAAGCAACGAUCGGUAGCCGGGUUGAGAGACUGAACGGCCACAUUGGGACUGAGACACGGCCCAGACUCCUACGGGAGGCAGCAGUGGGGGAUAUUGCACAAUGGGGGAAACCCUGAUGCAGCAACGCCGCGUGAGGGAAGAAGGUUUUCGGAUUGUAAACCUCUGUCCAAAGGGAAGAAAAAGAUGACGGUAC